Molecule: long non-coding RNA, 1624 nt
Filed under: Anas platyrhynchos platyrhynchos (common mallard)
Lineage: Eukaryota; Metazoa; Chordata; Aves; Anseriformes; Anatidae
Description: lncRNA (ENSAPLG00000022109.1)
Source: RNAcentral
AUGUGUCAAGAGACCUUGGACCUAUAUGAAGUUCACGCUUCCACUCCAGCAAUAAAAUCGGUUGUGCAACGCAGCGUGUGUGCGAUCCUCGCAGCUCCCCCGGCAAAGCCCCGCUGCAGCUCCCCAAAGCCCCUCGCACCCGGGGACCCCGCUGCAGCCGCCCCCUCCCCGUCCCAGCUCCAGCCGGGCUCCCGAGGGGCCGGGACACAGGGCACGAAGUUGCCCCCGCUCCCUGGGCUCGCCCCGGGGCCGGCCGGGCUGCGGGAGCCGCCGAGCCCCGAGCGGGGGCCGGGCAGGGCUCCGGGGCAGCCCCAAAGCGCCCCCAAAGCGCCCCGCAGCCGGCCGGGAGGGCGCAGGCCCCGUCCCCGGCGCCGUGCCGCCCGCUUACCGGCAGAGCUCGGCGAAGGCCUGGAAAUUGAGCUUCCUGAUCUUCUUCUCGCUCAGCCAGUAGCCCACCCGCUUCCCCUUCAGGAAGGUCUGCAUGGUGCCGGGCGCGCUUCUCCCGGGCGCCCCGGCUGCUGCUGCUGCUGGUGGUGCUGCUGCGCGGUGCUGCUGCAGCCGCUCAGCUCCCCAUUUGCCCGCUAUUCGCAGCCGCCUCCACUUCCUCCUCCUCCUCCUCCUCCUCCUCCUCGUCCCUCCCUCCCUCCGCCCCGGCCCCGGCUCCGGCCCCGCCCCGUGCAGCCCGGCCGGGCCCGCCCCGCAGCCCCCGGUGCGGUGCCGGGGCCGGGGCCGAGGUGCCCGGGGCUGCCGCGGGGCUGCGUCCUUCACGGCAAAAAUAACGAAAAUGAGUAAAGAUGUGAGUUCUGGCCGCGCAGCCCAGGGUCUGCCUUCUGCCAGCGCUUGGCAAGCGUCUGGAAGGGCUUACACGGAACUUUCAAUAACAGCUACUUGUCCUUUAACUUCAUUUUUUUCAGGAGACGAGGGUCGAGCGCCAGCAUGAGCUGGCAUUCACCCCUCCUCCUCCUUUUUUCUUUUUUUUUUUUUUUUUUUGAGAAGUGCAUUCCUAAAUGCCUUGGCAGCCGCUCUCCUCUGAUUCCAGAUGAAGAAUACUUCAGCCUGAGUUACUGUGGCACCUCACAGCCCCAGCAUCAUUUCCCCACCCUUCUUUCUCCCCUCGAUCCAACAUGAGUAUCACCCACCCCAAAUGCUCGUGGGUUGACUCGUGUUUUGGUUUUGGUCUUCUCUUUUCGGGGGGUAGAAGAAUGAUUCCUUCGCAGGGGUUUGGCAGCACCUGAGACGUGGACGAUGCUCUCGGGCUGUGCAGCUGUGGCUGUGCUGACUCACGGUGCCACCGCGAGUGCGGCCUCGCAGCCUCAGCAGGGCAUCGGAAACUGGUGGGAGCACCCGUCCGAGGGAAGGAAGGGGUAAAGCCAGGGAAGCCUUAAGAAAUAUGAAAGGGGUCGUUGGCCUAGGGAGUAGGUAGAGACCGUUUUACAUUCCUUUCGUUAUUUACAUUAACAGUGAAGUCAUCCUGAGCCAGGGGUAUAUUGGAAAGUAUGUGGGGAGUGGAGUCGCCUACAAACAGCUCACACUGAAGUUGUUGGAAAACCUAUAAAGUAGUACUCCUUGUCCAUUUGCAGGGGCCUUGGAUAAUAAAUGUUUAUUUUUCUACUUCGGAUAAUCA